Non-coding RNA from Sus scrofa (pig), 711 nucleotides. The record is from RefSeq and is a predicted model, not a curated record. Lineage: Eukaryota; Metazoa; Chordata; Mammalia; Artiodactyla; Suidae.
UGCCGACCUCCACAUUCUGCGGUCACCCCCGUGUUAUUCCCGCACUGAGAGAGGAAAUACCGCGAGAACCCGCAUCUUCAAAAACAAACGCGGCCGGGGCUGGGGGUGUUGGCAAGUGCCCGGAGCAAGCGAGGACAAGUGGUUGUGCCCACUCUUUCCUCCGAACCUGGGUCGGCACCUCUCCACGAGGCUCAGUACCUCUCCACAAGGCUCAGUGGCCCCAUCCAUGAGAUGAAGGGAUGGGGCUGGACUGCCCGGUGCUGGGACAGGAAUUCUGACGGGCCCUGGAUUUUCCAUCUCUCUCUCUCCCUCUCUCUCUCUCCCUCUCUCCUUCCACAGUCUCUCUAAUUAACCCCAAGGGCUCACACAUUUGCAAAGCAAAAUUAACUGUGCUAUAAAAAGAAAGCCAGGGAAGGGCUGUGAGCUACAGAAGAUGUCUUUCGGGAGGCUGGAAGGACUUCAGUUCUGGUGACGUUUGGAGAUGCCCGGCUCCAGAGCCUGCCUUGCUCAGAGCUCAGGUGGCCACACUGAAUCUGAGAUUCCUGGACUCCAAGAAUCCUGCCUCUCUUCCAGCUCCCCGUGGCCAGUGACUCCUCAGUGGAGAGUAAGAUGAGGGCAGAAGUGACAGAUGACCCUUCCUGGUGGUGGCUCUCCAGAGGCGAGGCCAUGCCCUCCCAGCUCCUGCGUCUUCUCACUGCCGGGAGUGCAAAC